Molecule: small RNA, 27 nt
Filed under: Bombyx mori (domestic silkworm)
Lineage: Eukaryota; Metazoa; Arthropoda; Insecta; Lepidoptera; Bombycidae
Description: ovarian small RNA-22158
Source: RNAcentral
UAGAUGUUUGUAUAUUGUAAUUGCCUU